UGGAAAACAAUGAUGCUCAUCAGAUGGUA
This 29-nucleotide non-coding RNA is filed under the name Mus musculus (house mouse). Lineage: Eukaryota; Metazoa; Chordata; Mammalia; Rodentia; Muridae. The record is from RNAcentral.